Long non-coding RNA from Syzygium oleosum, 333 nucleotides. RefSeq lists it as uncharacterized. Lineage: Eukaryota; Viridiplantae; Streptophyta; Magnoliopsida; Myrtales; Myrtaceae. The record is from RefSeq and is a predicted model, not a curated record. The transcript has 3 exons.
GACAUCAUUGAGGCCGGUGAGGGAGCAAACGGACUACCGCCGCCAUCCGAAGCCGUGGAAACCGAUGACGUAGCUUCUGGCAAAGCUUGCCUUGGAUAGCCUUGAAGUCCUAGUUGGCUGUGUGAUUGUUGAGGAAGGGAACCUUAUUGCGACAGGAAGAAACAGGACUAAUGAGACACGGACUGUAUGUCUACCAUUGCUUCUCCACCCCUUUCUAUAAUUUUUGGCCAACAGCACUUUGUUGUUGUUCUGAAUUGAUACCCUCACAAUUUCCACUCGUUAUUGUUGAUCUUUUUUGUGUUUCUGCCUUAAAUAUUUCUUUAAUAUAUGAUA